CCCCUCUCAAGAUCGCAUCUGGAGAGUUUCCAAUACUCUAUCAGUCUCAGCCACGGGAGGGAGAGUCAAGCAAUGCCCAUUCCAUUCCUGGCUAGGGCAGUGGCUAGCGAGUGGAAGACAAUCUGCUACAAGU
Molecule: small nucleolar RNA, 133 nt
Organism: Tachyglossus aculeatus (Australian echidna)
Lineage: Eukaryota; Metazoa; Chordata; Mammalia; Monotremata; Tachyglossidae
Source: RefSeq, a predicted model, not a curated record